AUUAAAUUUUCAACUUUUAGGCUGUUCAUUAGAACAGCAGUGUCUGGUUUUGUCUAAUGAAAAGUCCGGAAAUUAUCAUUAUUUUUUAAAGAGAAAAUUGGAGGACAGCACUGCGCCCAGGACGAUCAAUUUUUAAGCUUAGAGAGGAGGAAAAAACAUUUAUAGAAAUUCCAAAAUACCUUCAAUGUUCUGCCAAAAUUGUCUCCAAUUCCAUUAAAUAUGAUUUGAAGCCUCACGUAAAACCACCGAUUCAGAGGAUCGACGCAUAGUUUCUUUCAGCAAGGUUAAUCCUUCUGCGUCCUCUAGGGAGGAGGAACAGGCUCCUGACAGUGUGUUUGACCUCAAAACAAGGAGUUAAGCAUGUUAAGCAUGGUGGACUUAAUAUUCUGGUAUGGGCUUGUUUUCGUUACAGUGGUAUCAGUCCCAAGCAUAUGAUUGAUCGUUUUAUGGACCAACACGAAUAUGUAAAUGAUAAUGAUCUUAAACAGACAAACAACCGUUCAACCGCUCGAGAAUUGGUUCACCCAAAAUAAAGUAGACGUGAUGCCAUGCCCAGCACAAUUUCCCGAUCGAACCUGUGGGGCGACAUUAAACAUUAUGUCUACGGCACUGAUAAGCAACAAACGCUAUGCAACAAAUAACUAGACCCCAAUGUAAAUAUUAGUAAGAAAAAUUUAGUUGUAGUACUUUUUCUCUAUAUUUUCGAAACUAUUAAAGAAAUAAAAGUGUAA
This is a long non-coding RNA of Drosophila yakuba, 731 nucleotides long. RefSeq lists it as uncharacterized. The transcript has 3 exons. Lineage: Eukaryota; Metazoa; Arthropoda; Insecta; Diptera; Drosophilidae. The record is from RefSeq and is a predicted model, not a curated record.